Molecule: long non-coding RNA, 612 nt
Organism: Esox lucius (northern pike)
Lineage: Eukaryota; Metazoa; Chordata; Actinopteri; Esociformes; Esocidae
Source: Ensembl
ACAUAUCACAGCCCAGGAUGUUUUAACUUUUUUUAUAAAAGAUAAAAGAUAAAGAGAUCUAGUACUUGCCCGGCCCCAGCCAAAUGAAACCCCAGACAUCAUUUUGGGUGCAUACAAAAGUGCAUCCCGGCAUUGAAGUGUUUCUGUUGGUCAAAGGAAAAAACUACAUCCUCCCUCCAUCAGUGUCAAACAAGAGAUUGUCGCACCCAAGAUUCAGCUCAAGUAUCCGUCGUUCCAGACAACAACUGUAUCCUGUUCAACUGGUGGAUAGAUUGUAAGGUGGAUGACAUGUGUGGAGCAGCGUCUCUCUGACUAUCUGAUGAGAUCAAACCCAUCAUCUGAUCAACAGCUGCAUCGUCCCCCCGCUCCCAGACGGUGAGGCUGGAGAUCGAUACAGCCCAUCUUCAGAAUAACGUUAGGCACUUCCUAAUGGUGCUAAUGAAGAGAGCUGUCUACAGAGAGUGAGAACAACCUUUCUCCAGGGACCUACCACAACCAACAUCACAAUGUUGUGAGCAGUACACCCAUAAAUACACAGACAUAUGGGGUCUCUCAGUGUUCUGCCUGUUUACCAUAAUCCUGUAUUCCAUCAGUAAAUAACAUUUAUUUUAC